GGUUAAGCGACUAAGCGUACACGGUGGAUGCCCUGGCAGUCAGAGGCGAUGAAGGACGUGCUAAUCUGCGAUAAGCGUCGGUAAGGUGAUAUGAACCGUUAUAACCGGCGAUUUCCGAAUGGGGAAACCCAGUGUGUUUCGACACACUAUCAUUAACUGAAUCCAUAGGUUAAUGAGGCGAACCGGGGGAACUGAAACAUCUAAGUACCCCGAGGAAAAGAAAUCAACCGAGAUUCCCCCAGUAGCGGCGAGCGAACGGGGAGGAGCCCAGAGCCUGAAUCAGUGUGUGUGUUAGUGGAAGCGUCUGGAAAGGCGCGCGAUACAGGGUGACAGCCCCGUACACAAAAAUGCACAUACUGUGAGCUCGAUGAGUAGGGCGGGACACGUGGUAUCCUGUCUGAAUAUGGGGGGACCAUCCUCCAAGGCUAAAUACUCCUGACUGACCGAUAGUGAACCAGUACCGUGAGGGAAAGGCGAAAAGAACCCCGGCGAGGGGAGUGAAAAAGAACCUGAAACCGUGUACGUACAAGCAGUGGGAGCCUCUUUUAUGGGGUGACUGCGUACCUUUUGUAUAAUGGGUCAGCGACUUAUAUUCUGUAGCAAGGUUAACCGAAUAGGGGAGCCGAAGGGAAACCGAGUCUUAACUGGGCGUUAAGUUGCAGGGUAUAGACCCGAAACCCGGUGAUCUAGCCAUGGGCAGGUUGAAGGUUGGGUAACACUAACUGGAGGACCGAACCGACUAAUGUUGAAAAAUUAGCGGAUGACUUGUGGCUGGGGGUGAAAGGCCAAUCAAACCGGGAGAUAGCUGGUUCUCCCCGAAAGCUAUUUAGGUAGCGCCUCGUGAAUUCAUCUCCGGGGGUAGAGCACUGUUUCGGCAAGGGGGUCAUCCCGACUUACCAACCCGAUGCAAACUGCGAAUACCGGAGAAUGUUAUCACGGGAGACACACGGCGGGUGCUAACGUCCGUCGUGAAGAGGGAAACAACCCAGACCGCCAGCUAAGGUCCCAAAGUCAUGGUUAAGUGGGAAACGAUGUGGGAAGGCCCAGACAGCCAGGAUGUUGGCUUAGAAGCAGCCAUCAUUUAAAGAAAGCGUAAUAGCUCACUGGUCGAGUCGGCCUGCGCGGAAGAUGUAACGGGGCUAAACCAUGCACCGAAGCUGCGGCAGCGACACUAUGUGUUGUUGGGUAGGGGAGCGUUCUGUAAGCCUGUGAAGGUGUGCUGUGAGGCAUGCUGGAGGUAUCAGAAGUGCGAAUGCUGACAUAAGUAACGAUAAAGCGGGUGAAAAGCCCGCUCGCCGGAAGACCAAGGGUUCCUGUCCAACGUUAAUCGGGGCAGGGUGAGUCGACCCCUAAGGCGAGGCCGAAAGGCGUAGUCGAUGGGAAACAGGUUAAUAUUCCUGUACUUGGUGUUACUGCGAAGGGGGGACGGAGAAGGCUAUGUUGGCCGGGCGACGGUUGUCCCGGUUUAAGCGUGUAGGCUGGUUUUCCAGGCAAAUCCGGAAAAUCAAGGCUGAGGCGUGAUGACGAGGCACUACGGUGCUGAAGCAACAAAUGCCCUGCUUCCAGGAAAAGCCUCUAAGCAUCAGGUAACAUCAAAUCGUACCCCAAACCGACACAGGUGGUCAGGUAGAGAAUACCAAGGCGCUUGAGAGAACUCGGGUGAAGGAACUAGGCAAAAUGGUGCCGUAACUUCGGGAGAAGGCACGCUGAUAUGUAGGUGAAGCGACUUGCUCGUGGAGCUGAAAUCAGUCGAAGAUACCAGCUGGCUGCAACUGUUUAUUAAAAACACAGCACUGUGCAAACACGAAAGUGGACGUAUACGGUGUGACGCCUGCCCGGUGCCGGAAGGUUAAUUGAUGGGGUUAGCGGUAACGCGAAGCUCUUGAUCGAAGCCCCGGUAAACGGCGGCCGUAACUAUAACGGUCCUAAGGUAGCGAAAUUCCUUGUCGGGUAAGUUCCGACCUGCACGAAUGGCGUAAUGAUGGCCAGGCUGUCUCCACCCGAGACUCAGUGAAAUUGAACUCGCUGUGAAGAUGCAGUGUACCCGCGGCAAGACGGAAAGACCCCGUGAACCUUUACUAUAGCUUGACACUGAACAUUGAGCCUUGAUGUGUAGGAUAGGUGGGAGGCUUUGAAGUGUGGACGCCAGUCUGCAUGGAGCCGACCUUGAAAUACCACCCUUUAAUGUUUGAUGUUCUAACGUUGGCCCCUGAUCGGGGUUGCGGACAGUGUCUGGUGGGUAGUUUGACUGGGGCGGUCUCCUCCUAAAGAGUAACGGAGGAGCACGAAGGUUGGCUAAUCCUGGUCGGACAUCAGGAGGUUAGUGCAAUGGCAUAAGCCAGCUUGACUGCGAGCGUGACGGCGCGAGCAGGUGCGAAAGCAGGUCAUAGUGAUCCGGUGGUUCUGAAUGGAAGGGCCAUCGCUCAACGGAUAAAAGGUACUCCGGGGAUAACAGGCUGAUACCGCCCAAGAGUUCAUAUCGACGGCGGUGUUUGGCACCUCGAUGUCGGCUCAUCACAUCCUGGGGCUGAAGUAGGUCCCAAGGGUAUGGCUGUUCGCCAUUUAAAGUGGUACGCGAGCUGGGUUUAGAACGUCGUGAGACAGUUCGGUCCCUAUCUGCCGUGGGCGCUGGAGAACUGAGGGGGGCUGCUCCUAGUACGAGAGGACCGGAGUGGACGCAUCACUGGUGUUCGGGUUGUCAUGCCAAUGGCACUGCCCGGUAGCUAAAUGCGGAAGAGAUAAGUGCUGAAAGCAUCUAAGCACGAAACUUGCCCCGAGAUGAGUUCUCCCUGAGACUUUAAGUCUCCUGAAGGAACGUUGAAGACGACGACGUUGAUAGGCCGGGUGUGUAAGCGCAGCGAUGCGUUGAGCUAACCGGUACUAAUGAACCGUGAGGCUUAACCUU
Molecule: ribosomal RNA, 2905 nt
Filed under: Escherichia coli
Lineage: Bacteria; Pseudomonadati; Pseudomonadota; Gammaproteobacteria; Enterobacterales; Enterobacteriaceae
Description: 23S ribosomal RNA
Rfam family: Bacterial large subunit ribosomal RNA
Source: RNAcentral